UUUGAUAGAGAUAAGGAUAUUACUGUGUUCCCAAAUCUAAUGUCCUUGUCUGUUUCGGAAUGCCCGAGAUUGAAAUCACUCCCCUGGGGCCUGAAGGGAUCUCCCUUGAAGGAGCUGGACAUCCACAGCUGCCAAAGUCUCGAAAUUAAGGAUCCCUUGAAGAGAGUUGUCGAUCUGGGGGGAUGCCCUCUUUUGAAAAAUGUGGAGAAAUUAACUGUCCGGACUUCGUUCUCUCUCUCCUCUAUUAUUUCCAACCACGCUGACCCUCAUCAUCAGAUUCUCUCUUUCUCUCUCUCCAAUAAAUCCCUCUCUCCUCUUCAUCUCUCUCAAAUGAACCCAUCCCCAAACUCCUCCGCCCCAUCUCCUCUUCCUUGACCGACACCCUCCGUCGCCUCCCUGACCAGAUCCGCCGCUCCGAGCUCAGAUCCAGCCAAGACCCUGGGCCGGCCCUGGGGUAAGCCCACCAAGCCCCGGGGCUGGGGCAACCUAGGGCCGGGGGGCAACUCGCCGGUGGCAUACAUACUCCCAUGGGACCUCGCCGGAGUCGGAGGCAGUGCCGCCGCCUCAUCCACCCCAUGCGACCCUCUGGAACUCUCGCAAGCGAUCAGACUUGGGAAUUGUUCUUCCUUCGUAGGACCAAGAGUGCUUUAAAGAUUAAGACCAGCGACAGUGAUCACCUCCUCUCUCUUUACUCUCCCAGCUUCAGUUAUUAAGUCCUCGUAAUCACUUGUGGUACUCCAGACUAAGAUGUAUUUUUCUCUUUCCUACUUGAAGAGUUUUGGGCAUGAUGAUUCAGAGGCGUGAAUGUAACUGUAUGGUUGCAUUGCCGACCGAGUCACGCUCCAAAUUAUCACGUUUUGGACCCGAGGCGCUUCGGCAAACAAAAUAGCAAGAUAUCUCAAUUCAGGCAACAGGCCGAGAGGAGGAAGCUGCAC
Molecule: long non-coding RNA, 935 nt
Organism: Asparagus officinalis (garden asparagus)
Lineage: Eukaryota; Viridiplantae; Streptophyta; Magnoliopsida; Asparagales; Asparagaceae
Exons: 3
Source: RefSeq, a predicted model, not a curated record